AACGCAGCGAAGGGCGAUAAGUAAUGUGAAUUGCAGAAUUCAGUGAAUCAUCGAAUCUUUGAACGCACAUUGCGCCCCUGGUAUUCCGGGGGGGCACACCUGUUCGAGCGCCAUUUUCACCAUCGAGCCCUGCUCGGAGAUGGGCCUCGUCCUCGCGGACGGGCCCGAAAACCCGUGGGCGCCAUUGUCCGGCCCUGAGCGUAGCAAGAGAAAUCCCUCGCUCGGUGGACCGUCCAGUGGCCGCCCCGACCAUUUUUACAAGGUUGGCCUCGGAUCAGGUGGGGAUACCCGCUGAACUUAA
This 301-nucleotide ribosomal RNA is filed under the name uncultured fungus. RNAcentral describes it as "eukaryotic LSU rRNA". The stretch from base 1 to 113 matches the Rfam family "5.8S ribosomal RNA", at positions 42 to 154 of the family's 154-position model. The record is from RNAcentral. Lineage: Eukaryota; Fungi.